CUUUCCAGGGAGUCCCGGGCACAUAUCGGUCUGGCCCGUCCGAACAGCGGUUCCUUCGCGGACUAACUACGGAAUCACCCGAAGGCAUUCGGACGCUUCUGGGGACAGCCCGAGGUGGCGGGGGCUCUUUCGGACGGCUGGCGGCAAGAUUUCGGAACAAUUCGUUUUUACACGGGAACAUUUACAGUGCACU
This is a long non-coding RNA of Thrips palmi, 193 nucleotides long. RefSeq lists it as uncharacterized. The record is from RefSeq and is a predicted model, not a curated record. NCBI's taxonomy places the organism in Eukaryota, Metazoa, Arthropoda, Insecta, Thysanoptera, Thripidae. The transcript is spliced from 3 exons.